AUGCAAGUCGAGCGAACAGAUAAGGAGCUUGCUCCUUUGACGUUAGCGGCGGACGGGUGAGUAACACGUGGAUAACCUACCUAUAAGACUGGGAUAACUUCGGGAAACCGGAGCUAAUACCGGAUAAGAUUUUGAACCGCAUGGUUCAAUAGUGAAAGACGGCCUUGCUGUCACUUAUAGAUGGAUCCGCGCCGUAUUAGCUAGUUGGUAAGGUAACGGCUUACCAAGGCAACGAUACGUAGCCGACCUGAGAGGGUGAUCGGCCACACUGGAACUGAGACACGGUCCAGACUCCUACGGGAGGCAGCAGUAGGGAAUCUUCCGCAAUGGGCGAAAGCCUGACGGAGCAACGCCGCGUGAGUGAUGAAGGUCUUCGGAUCGUAAAACUCUGUUAUCAGGGAAGAACAAACGUGUAAGUAACUGUGCACGUCUUGACGGUACCUAAUCAGAA
RNAcentral lists this ribosomal RNA (451 nucleotides) under Staphylococcus pasteuri. RNAcentral's name for it is "bacterial SSU rRNA". It matches the Rfam family "Bacterial small subunit ribosomal RNA", at positions 55 to 488 of the family's 1533-position model. The record is from RNAcentral. Lineage: Bacteria; Bacillati; Bacillota; Bacilli; Caryophanales; Staphylococcaceae.